Zonotrichia leucophrys gambelii is the source of this 886-nucleotide long non-coding RNA. RefSeq lists it as uncharacterized. The transcript has 5 exons. The record is from RefSeq and is a predicted model, not a curated record. Lineage: Eukaryota; Metazoa; Chordata; Aves; Passeriformes; Passerellidae.
UGUUAAUUUGCUUCUGCACCACCAAGGGACAAAGUACAUUUAAAAAACAUAUGUGGGAAUGAGCUAAAAGUGUCCCCAGCUUUCAUUGUCACCCACAAUGCAGAGUGUGGGAAGAUCUCUUGGAAAUGUGAGGAGAUGCAAGAUGAAGUUUGAAUCUCUGCUCCUCUUAAAAGGCUGCAAAAUCUUUUUUGGUAAAUUUCAGUGGGAACAGAUAGUUGUAAAGACUUGUGCUCUCAGUGUUCCUGAGCAGACCUUCAGAUGAUACUUAACAAGUCUAAUGGACCUGAGGAGAUGGUGCUCCAGUGUUAGCUGAGCUGCUUUUGAGUCCAGUCGGGUCUGACCUCAGUGAAUUCCUUUCCUUGCUAUUUUUUUCAAUGGAGAAAAACCAAGAGUCAGCAAUUUCUAGGUGAUGGGAGAAGCCUUCCAAAAGCAAUUAAAGGAGCCCCUUUAGCAUCAUGAGAAAGAAUAUCCUCUGUGAAUAAAGUAUUCCAACUUCUGUUCGUGCGCCCUUCCUCUCCAGCUAAUGAUCUAUUGCAUGCGAGUGACUGACCCAGCCCUGAUCUGAGAACAUUGAAAAUCUUAUCUGCAAGCAUAGAUCCUGUUUGUGCCUUCAGGCAACAUACUCAAUUUACAGCCAAGGCUCAAAGCCCUUUGAAAGUUGGCUCUUAAGGUCAUACCCCUUGUCCUAAAGUCUAUCAAGGAAUUUUCCCCUACAAUGUAUUCCAGGAGAGUUUUCUAGGACAUGCUUGCCUUGUUUUGUUUUCUUUUUGAUGCAGCAGAAACAGCAACCUUUGUGAGAGUUCAGAUAAUCAGAUUUGCAUUUUGUUUAACCAGUCUCACUGCUACUAUUUGGAAAACAGUAGUUUAAUAGUAACUCUCAAUAUAG